UGUGUGUGUGUGACUGUCUGUGUGAUAGUGUGUGUGACUGCAUGCCUGUGUGUGUGUGACUGUCUGUCUGUGUGACUGCCUGCCUGUGUGUGUCUGCUUGCCUGUGUGUGUGUCUGUCUGUCUGUCUGUCAGUGUGACUGCGUGCCUGUGUGUGUGACUUUAUUUGUGUGACUGUUUGCCUGUGUGUGUGUGUCUGCCUGCCUGUGUGUGUUUGUGUGGCUGUAUGUCUGUGUG
Molecule: non-coding RNA, 234 nt
Organism: Pelobates cultripes (western spadefoot toad)
Lineage: Eukaryota; Metazoa; Chordata; Amphibia; Anura; Pelobatidae
Source: the annotation of a GenBank genome assembly